CGCUUCUCCUCAUCGUCUGGUGUCCGUCGUGAGGCGGAAGAAUCGGAAAUCCGGUGAAAGACCGGAACGUGCCCAACGCUGUGAAUGGUGAUGGCCGCGCAUGAUGCCACUGGAGAAAUCCGGGAAGGCGUGCGAGCCAGGUGAUCCUCAGUCAGAAGACCGGCCAGACAGGAUGGCUCGUG
Molecule: non-coding RNA, 182 nt
Filed under: Paramesorhizobium deserti
Lineage: Bacteria; Pseudomonadati; Pseudomonadota; Alphaproteobacteria; Hyphomicrobiales; Phyllobacteriaceae
Source: RNAcentral